CAAAGGGAUUACCGGUGGCGGAUGGGCAUGCGGCGCAUUAGCUAGUCGGCGGGGUAACGGCCCACCGAGGCGACGAUGCGUAGGGGUUCUGAGAGGAAGGUCCCCCACACUGGCACUGAGACACGGACCAGACUCCUACGGGAGGCAGCAGUGAGGAAUAUUGGUCAAUGGGCGCGAGCCUGAACCAGCCAAGUCGCGUGAGGGAUGACGGUCUACGGAUUGUAAACCUCUUUUGCCGGGGAGCAAGCGUGCGUUCGUGAACGCGCGUCGAGAGUACCCGGAGAAAAAGCAUCGGCUAACUCCGUGCCAGCAGCCGCGGUAAUACGGAGGAUGCGAGCGUUAUCCGGAUUUAUUGGGUUUAAAGGGUGCGUAGGCGGGAUGCCAAGUCAGCGGUAAAAAUGCGGUGCUCAACGCCGUCGAGCCGUUGAAACUGGCGUUCUUGAGUGGGCGAGAAGUAUGCGGAAUGCGUGGUGUAGCGGUGAAAUGCAUAGAUAUCACGCAGAACUCCGAUUGCGAAGGCAGCAUACCGGCGCCCUACUGACGCUGAGGCACGAAAGCGUGGGUAUCGAACAGGAUUAGAUACCCUGGUAGUCCACGCAGUAAACGAUGAAUGCUAACUGUCCGG
This 625-nucleotide ribosomal RNA is filed under the name uncultured bacterium. RNAcentral's name for it is "bacterial SSU rRNA". It matches the Rfam family "Bacterial small subunit ribosomal RNA", at positions 202 to 827 of the family's 1533-position model. The record is from RNAcentral.